UACGUAGGUGGCGAGCGUUAUUCGGAUUUACUGGGCGUAAAGAGUCCGUAGGGGGAUUAGUAAGUUUGGUGUGAAAGCCUGAGGCUCAACCUCAGAACUGCACUGAAAACUGCUAAUCUCGAGUUCUGGAGAGGUAAGUGGAAUUUGUGGUGUAGCGGUGGAAUGCGUAGAUAUCACAAGGAACUCCAAUGGCGAAGGCAGCUUACUGGACAGAUACUGACCCUGAGGGACGAAAGCUAAGGUAGCGAAAAGG
Molecule: ribosomal RNA, 253 nt
Filed under: uncultured bacterium
Lineage: Bacteria
Description: partial 16S ribosomal RNA
Rfam family: Bacterial small subunit ribosomal RNA
Source: RNAcentral